GAUGAAGAACGCAGCGAAAUGCGAUACUUGGUGUGAAUUGCAGAAUCCCGUGAACCAUCGAGUCUUUGAACGCAAGUUGCGCCCGAAGCCAUUAGGCCGAGGGCACGCCUGCCUGGGCGUCACACGUCGUUGCCCCCCCAUCUACUCCUUCGGGAUUGCGGGGGGCGGAUGAUGGCCUCCCGUGCGCCUCGUCGCGCGGUUGGCAUAAAUGCCAAGUCCUCGGCGACACACGCCACGACAAUCGGUGGUUGCGAAACCUCGGUUGCCCGUCGUGUGCGGUCGUCGCGCAUCGAGGGCUCGAAAAAAUUGCCGGGCUCCGGCUCGGCUUUCUACGCGACCCCAGGUCAGGCGGGGUUACCCGCUGAAUUUAAGCAUAUCAAUAAGCGGAGGA
Molecule: unclassified non-coding RNA, 391 nt
Filed under: soil metagenome
Description: partial contains 5.8S ribosomal RNA, internal transcribed spacer 2, and large subunit ribosomal RNA
Rfam family: 5.8S ribosomal RNA (bases 1-122)
Source: RNAcentral